GGCCCCGUGACCGAGUGGUUAGGUACCGGACUGCAAAUCCGUUUACACCAGUUCAAAUCUGGUCGGGGCCU
This 71-nucleotide transfer RNA is filed under the name bacterium. It matches the Rfam family "tRNA". From Rfam's summary of the family: Transfer RNA (tRNA) molecules are approximately 80 nucleotides in length. The record is from Rfam by way of RNAcentral.